This 336-nucleotide unclassified non-coding RNA is filed under the name soil metagenome. RNAcentral describes it as "partial contains 5.8S ribosomal RNA, internal transcribed spacer 2, and large subunit ribosomal RNA". The stretch from base 1 to 120 matches the Rfam family "5.8S ribosomal RNA", at positions 35 to 154 of the family's 154-position model. The record is from RNAcentral.
GAUGAAGAACGCAGCGAAAUGCGAUAAGUAAUGUGAAUUGCAGAAUUCCGUGAAUCAUCGUAUCUUUGAACGCACAUUGCGCCCCCUGGUAUUCCGGGGGGCAUGCCUGUCCGAGCGUCAUUGCAACCUUCAAGCGCGGCUUGUGUGUUGGGUCUCGUCCCCCGUGGACGGGCCCGAAAGGCAGUGGCGGCGUCCCGACAUGGUGCCCGAGCGUAUGGGAAUCCUCUUCCGCUCGAAUCGGCCCAUGCGGCGCUGGUCGUAACCAAAUUUUUUACCGGUUGACCUCGGAUCAGGUAGGGAUACCCGCUGAACUUAAGCAUAUCAAUAAGCGGAGGA